Molecule: ribosomal RNA, 402 nt
Filed under: uncultured Sphingobacteriales bacterium
Lineage: Bacteria; Pseudomonadati; Bacteroidota; Sphingobacteriia; Sphingobacteriales
Description: bacterial SSU rRNA
Rfam family: Bacterial small subunit ribosomal RNA
Source: RNAcentral
GGGCUCGAACGUAAGAUGACUGUAGGUGAAGCUUACAUCUCUUCGGAGCAUUUUACGAGGUGCUGCAUGGUUGUCGUCAGCUCGUGCCGUGAGGUGUCGGGUUAAGUCCAUAACGAGCGCAACCCUACCUUUAGUUGCCAUCAGGUAAUGCUGGGGACUCUAAAGGAACUGCCUACGCAAGUAGUGAGGAAGGCGGGGAUGACGUCAAAUCAGCACGGCCCUUACGUCCAGGGCUACACACGUGCUACAAUGGCCGAUACAGAGGGCAGCUACCUGGUGACAGGAUGCAAAUCUCCAAAGUCGGUCUCAGUUCGGAUCGGAGUCUGCAACCCGACUCCGUGAAGUUGGAUUCGCUAGUAAUCGCGCAUCAGCCAUGGCGCGGUGAAUACGUUCCCGGGCCUU